This 327-nucleotide ribosomal RNA is filed under the name uncultured eukaryote. Its description in RNAcentral is "partial 18S ribosomal RNA". It matches the Rfam family "Eukaryotic small subunit ribosomal RNA", at positions 1470 to 1796 of the family's 1831-position model. The record is from RNAcentral.
CCCUUAGAUGUUCUGGGCCGCACGCGCGCUACACUGAUUCAUGCAACAAGUUUUGUCCUUGGCUGAUAGGCCUGGGUAAUCUUUGAACGUGAAUCGUGAUGGGGAUAGAUGAUUGCAAUUAUUCAUCCUCAACGAGGAAUUCCUAGUAAACGCAAGUCAUCAGCUUGCAUUGAUUACGUCCCUGCCCUUUGUACACACCGCCCGUCGCACCUACCGAUUGAAUGGUCCGGUGAAAUCUUCGGAUCUGAGAGAUGUCUGAUUAAUUUCGGACGCCUUUUGGAAAAGUUGCUUAAACCUUACCAUUUAGAGGAAGGUGAAGUCGUAACA